GACAGAGGUGCCGAGCGUUAGGCGGAAUCACUGGGCUUAAAGCGUGUGUAGGCGGAUCGUUAAGUACCUUGUGAAAUCCCACGGCUUAACCGUGGAACUGCUUGGUAUACUGGCGGUCUUGAGCCAGCUAGGGGCUACCGGAACAAAUGGUGGAGCGGUGAAAUGCGUAGAUAUCAGGAGGAACACCAAUGGCGAAGGCAGAUCUCUGGGCCGUAACUGACGCUGAGGAGCGAAGGCAUGGGGAGCGAACAGG
RNAcentral lists this ribosomal RNA (253 nucleotides) under uncultured bacterium. RNAcentral's name for it is "partial 16S ribosomal RNA". It matches the Rfam family "Bacterial small subunit ribosomal RNA", at positions 524 to 776 of the family's 1533-position model. The record is from RNAcentral.